UGAUGGUCUGCCUUGAUGACUUAUGGGGACACCUGUCGGGGGUUCUGCUAGACAGAAAGAUGCAGGGCGCCCCUCACGCACGCAAACUCUAGCUCUCACACCCAGACGUGCUCCAAACAUUCCAAAGGAGCCAAAAACGACGUCUGGCUUUUCCGCGGCGCCUCCUGGCCCUGGCGGUGACUCCGAGGUGGCGCUUUCAGGGUGGGCGCGAGGGAGAGGAAAGCCCCUGGCAUCCUCACCCCCAGGGCCAGAGGGACAGCGGGUGCCCUCCGCCCCGAGUCACCUGCGUCUUGAAUUCUGGCCCUCCAAGGAGAGGGCAAUGCCUGAGCCCACGGAAGUUGGGUCAGGGGCAGCAUUGGAAGUCAGAGCCUGCAAUGCUCACGUAAAUGCAAAAGAUGGUUCCUUCAGUGCCAGUAAGAAGGGUGUCUUGAACAUGAGGAAUACAGCAGCAAGCAAGACAGAGAGGUGCCUGCUUUCUGGGGAGACAACAAACAGAUAAAUAAGCACGACACUGUCCUGCCAAGCUAAGUGACAUCAAUGAAACAAGGCAAGGUAAUAAGAAGAGGCUGGGAAAAGGCUUAGCUGUGAUUUUGCUUUCUGCAGUUUGAGUUGCCUAUGUUCAACCGAGGUUCAAAAAUAUUAAAUGGAACAUUUCAGAAAUGAACAAUCCUAAGUUUAAAUUGCAUGCCAUUCUGAGCAGCGUGAUGAUAUCUUGCGCCAUCUCUCCCAGUCCUGCCCCGGGGAUGAAUCAUCCCUUUGUCCAGCCUGUCCACACUGUACAUGCUCCAGGCCCGUUAGUUACUUAGUAGCCAUCUCAGUUUUUCGGAUGACGUCGAGGCAUGGCAGGGUUUGUGUUCAAAGUCACCCUUAUUUUACUUAACAAUAGCUUCAAAUCACAAGCAUAGUGAUGCUGGCAAUUUGGAUAUGCCAAAGAGAAGCUACAAGGUGCUUUAAGGGGAAAAGUGAAAGUUGUGGACUUAAUUAGCAACCUUAGCUGAGGUUGCUAAGAUCUGUGAUAACAAGGAAGCUUUGAUUCAUGAAAUUGUGAAGAUGGAAAAAAGAAAUAUAUGCUAGUUUUGCUGUCACACCUCGGACUGCAAAGUAAUGGCCAUGGUGCGUGAUAAGAGCUUAGUUAAGAUGGAAAAGGCAUUAAUUCUGUGGAUAAAAACAUGAAGAGAAAUGUGUUCUGAUUGAUGGCAAUAAGGAUCAGUAUUAUCCGUGGUCCCAGGCAUGCAUUGGAGGUGUUGGAAUGUAUCCCCCAUGGAUAAGGAGAGACUAUUGUAUCCUUGAUUGGGGCAUUGCUACAUGGAUGUAUACAUUUGGCCCAACUCUCCAAACUGAACACUUAAGAUAGGUGUGUUUCAUUGUACGCACAUUUUUCAACAAAAAUCUUUUCUAUAUAAGAAGAAUAGCUGGGAAAGGAAGACAUUAACUAGGGUGAUCAGGAUGGUCUCUUUGCAAAGGGGACAUUUGAGCUGAGACCUGAAAAGUGAGAAUGAACUAGAAGGAGUUAGCCACGCCAGGAUCUUGUCUCUUCCUACCAAGAUGCUGCAGGCAGAGGAAACGCUGCAUUGGAAGGGCCCCCGGUACCUUGGAGUUGACAGCCAUGUGCUCAGAGGAGAAUGAAGCAAACCAAGCAAAAGCCAACCCCAAACACCCAAUGGCCUGAGCUCCUCAGAGCAAGAAAAGUCAAGUUGAAUAUCUCAGAUGGGGCCGUCAGAGAAUGGAGAUGACCUCAUCCACAGUGGGACAAGUUGGAGCAAAUCACUUGGGUGGAAAGCAAGGAAAUAGAGGGGCAAUUUCAGCAUGUCCCUCAGGCUUCCACAGAGGAAGGUUUGGCCUUCCAAA
Molecule: long non-coding RNA, 1848 nt
Filed under: Pan troglodytes (chimpanzee)
Lineage: Eukaryota; Metazoa; Chordata; Mammalia; Primates; Hominidae
Description: long non-coding RNA NONPTRT008843
Source: RNAcentral